This 246-nucleotide ribosomal RNA is filed under the name uncultured bacterium. RNAcentral describes it as "partial 16S ribosomal RNA". It matches the Rfam family "Bacterial small subunit ribosomal RNA", at positions 90 to 339 of the family's 1533-position model. The record is from RNAcentral.
GAUUAGUGGCGAACGGGUGAGUAAUGCACCGGAACGUGCCCAAUCGUGGGGGAUAACGCAGCGAAAGCUGUGCUAAUACCGCAUACGAUCUACGGAUGAAAGCGGGGGACCGUAAGGCCUCGCGCGAUUGGAGCGGCCGAUAUCAGAUUAGGUUGUUGGUGAGGUAAAAGCUCACCAAGCCGACGAUCUGUAGCUGGUCUGAGAGGACGACCAGCCACACUGGAACUGAGACACGGUCCAGACUCC